RNAcentral lists this ribosomal RNA (465 nucleotides) under uncultured bacterium. RNAcentral describes it as "partial 16S ribosomal RNA". It matches the Rfam family "Bacterial small subunit ribosomal RNA", at positions 28 to 507 of the family's 1533-position model. The record is from RNAcentral.
GACGAACGCUGGCGGCGUGCUUAACACAUGCAAGUCGAACGGAAAGGCCCCUUUGGGGGUACUCGAGUGGCGAACGGGUGAGUAACACGUGAGUAACCUGCCCUUGACUUCGGGAUAACUUCAGGAAACUGGGGCUAAUACCGGAUAGGAAUCCUUGCUGCAUGGUGGGGGUUGGAAAGCUUCGGCGGUUUUGGAUGGACUCGCGGCUUAUCAGCUUGUUGGUGGGGUAGUGGCUUACCAAGGCUUUGACGGGUAGCCGGCCUGAGAGGGCGACCGGCCACAUUGGGACUGAGAUACGGCCCAGACUCCUACGGGAGGCAGCAGUGGGGAAUAUUGCACAUUGGGCGGAAGCCUGAUGCAGCAACGCCGCGUGCGGGAUGACGGCCUUCGGGUUGUAAACCGCUUUCAGCAGGGGCGAAGCUUGUGGUGACGGUACCUGCAGAAGAAGCACCGGCUAACUACGUG